GACGAACGCUGGCGGCGUGCUUAACACAUGCAAGUCGAACGGUGAUGCUCCAGCUUGCUGUAGUGGAUCAGUGGCGAGCGGGUGAGUAACACGGGAGCAACCUGGCCCAGGCGGGGUAAUAAGCGCUGGAGACGGCUUCUAAUACUUGAGACGAGACUGGGCCGCAUGGGCAUCGUUUGGAAAGUUUUUCCGUUUUGGAUGGGCGCGCGGCCUAUCAGCUUGUUGGUGAGGUAAUGGCGCACGAAGGCAACGACGGGUAGCCGGCAUGAGAGGUCGACCGGCGACAAUGCGCCUGAGAGACGGCGCAGACUGCAACGGUAGGCAGCAGUGGGGAAUCUUGCCCAACGGGCGCACGCGUGAUGCAGCGACGCCGCGAGAGGGAUGACGGCUUUCGGGUUGUAAACCUCUUUCAGUUGAGAAGAAGCGAAAGUGACGGUACCUGCAGAAGAAGCACCGGCUAACUACGUG
Molecule: ribosomal RNA, 468 nt
Filed under: uncultured bacterium
Lineage: Bacteria
Description: partial 16S ribosomal RNA
Rfam family: Bacterial small subunit ribosomal RNA
Source: RNAcentral